GGGUUGUGAGGUUAAGCGACUAAGCGUACACGGUGGAUGCCCUGGCAGUCAGAGGCGAUGAAGGACGUGCUAAUCUGCGAUAAGCGUCGGUAAGGUGAUAUGAACCGUUAUAACCGGCGAUUUCCGAAUGGGGAAACCCAGUGUGAUUCGUCACACUAUCAUUAACUGAAUCCAUAGGUUAAUGAGGCGAACCGGGGGAACUGAAACAUCUAAGUACCCCGAGGAAAAGAAAUCAACCGAGAUUCCCCCAGUAGCGGCGAGCGAACGGGGAGCAGCCCAGAGCCUGAAUCAGUGUGUGUGUUAGUGGAAGCGUCUGGAAAGGCGCGCGAUACAGGGUGACAGCCCCGUACACAAAAAUGCACAUGCUGUGAGCUCGAUGAGUAGGGCGGGACACGUGGUAUCCUGUCUGAAUAUGGGGGGACCAUCCUCCAAGGCUAAAUACUCCUGACUGACCGAUAGUGAACCAGUACCGUGAGGGAAAGGCGAAAAGAACCCCGGCGAGGGGAGUGAAAAAGAACCUGAAACCGUGUACGUACAAGCAGUGGGAGCACGCUUAGGCGUGUGACUGCGUACCUUUUGUAUAAUGGGUCAGCGACUUAUAUUCUGUAGCAAGGUUAACCGAAUAGGGGAGCCGAAGGGAAACCGAGUCUUAACUGGGCGUUAAGUUGCAGGGUAUAGACCCGAAACCCGGUGAUCUAGCCAUGGGCAGGUUGAAGGUUGGGUAACACUAACUGGAGGACCGAACCGACUAAUGUUGAAAAAUUAGCGGAUGACUUGUGGCUGGGGGUGAAAGGCCAAUCAAACCGGGAGAUAGCUGGUUCUCCCCGAAAGCUAUUUAGGUAGCGCCUCGUGAAUUCAUCUCCGGGGGUAGAGCACUGUUUCGGCAAGGGGGUCAUCCCGACUUACCAACCCGAUGCAAACUGCGAAUACCGGAGAAUGUUAUCACGGGAGACACACGGCGGGUGCUAACGUCCGUCGUGAAGAGGGAAACAACCCAGACCGCCAGCUAAGGUCCCAAAGUCAUGGUUAAGUGGGAAACGAUGUGGGAAGGCCCAGACAGCCAGGAUGUUGGCUUAGAAGCAGCCAUCAUUUAAAGAAAGCGUAAUAGCUCACUGGUCGAGUCGGCCUGCGCGGAAGAUGUAACGGGGCUAAACCAUGCACCGAAGCUGCGGCAGCGACGCUUAUGCGUUGUUGGGUAGGGGAGCGUUCUGUAAGCCUGUGAAGGUGUACUGUGAGGUAUGCUGGAGGUAUCAGAAGUGCGAAUGCUGACAUAAGUAACGAUAAAGCGGGUGAAAAGCCCGCUCGCCGGAAGACCAAGGGUUCCUGUCCAACGUUAAUCGGGGCAGGGUGAGUCGACCCCUAAGGCGAGGCCGAAAGGCGUAGUCGAUGGGAAACAGGUUAAUAUUCCUGUACUUGGUGUUACUGCGAAGGGGGGACGGAGAAGGCUAUGUUGGCCGGGCGACGGUUGUCCCGGUUUAAGCGUGUAGGCUGGUUUUCCAGGCAAAUCCGGAAAAUCAAGGCUGAGGCGUGAUGACGAGGCACUACGGUGCUGAAGCAACAAAUGCCCUGCUUCCAGGAAAAGCCUCUAAGCAUCAGGUAACAUCAAAUCGUACCCCAAACCGACACAGGUGGUCAGGUAGAGAAUACCAAGGCGCUUGAGAGAACUCGGGUGAAGGAACUAGGCAAAAUGGUGCCGUAACUUCGGGAGAAGGCACGCUGAUAUGUAGGUGAAGUCCCUCGCGGAUGGAGCUGAAAUCAGUCGAAGAUACCAGCUGGCUGCAACUGUUUAUUAAAAACACAGCACUGUGCAAACACGAAAGUGGACGUAUACGGUGUGACGCCUGCCCGGUGCCGGAAGGUUAAUUGAUGGGGUCAGCGCAAGCGAAGCUCUUGAUCGAAGCCCCGGUAAACGGCGGCCGUAACUAUAACGGUCCUAAGGUAGCGAAAUUCCUUGUCGGGUAAGUUCCGACCUGCACGAAUGGCGUAAUGAUGGCCAGGCUGUCUCCACCCGAGACUCAGUGAAAUUGAACUCGCUGUGAAGAUGCAGUGUACCCGCGGCAAGACGGAAAGACCCCGUGAACCUUUACUAUAGCUUGACACUGAACAUUGAGCCUUGAUGUGUAGGAUAGGUGGGAGGCUUUGAAGUGUGGACGCCAGUCUGCAUGGAGCCGACCUUGAAAUACCACCCUUUAAUGUUUGAUGUUCUAACGUGGACCCGUAAUCCGGGUUGCGGACAGUGUCUGGUGGGUAGUUUGACUGGGGCGGUCUCCUCCUAAAGAGUAACGGAGGAGCACGAAGGUUGGCUAAUCCUGGUCGGACAUCAGGAGGUUAGUGCAAUGGCAUAAGCCAGCUUGACUGCGAGCGUGACGGCGCGAGCAGGUGCGAAAGCAGGUCAUAGUGAUCCGGUGGUUCUGAAUGGAAGGGCCAUCGCUCAACGGAUAAAAGGUACUCCGGGGAUAACAGGCUGAUACCGCCCAAGAGUUCAUAUCGACGGCGGUGUUUGGCACCUCGAUGUCGGCUCAUCACAUCCUGGGGCUGAAGUAGGUCCCAAGGGUAUGGCUGUUCGCCAUUUAAAGUGGUACGCGAGCUGGGUUUAGAACGUCGUGAGACAGUUCGGUCCCUAUCUGCCGUGGGCGCUGGAGAACUGAGGGGGGCUGCUCCUAGUACGAGAGGACCGGAGUGGACGCAUCACUGGUGUUCGGGUUGUCAUGCCAAUGGCACUGCCCGGUAGCUAAAUGCGGAAGAGAUAAGUGCUGAAAGCAUCUAAGCACGAAACUUGCCCCGAGAUGAGUUCUCCCUGACCCUUUAAGGGUCCUGAAGGAACGUUGAAGACGACGACGUUGAUAGGCCGGGUGUGUAAGCGCAGCGAUGCGUUGAGCUAACCGGUACUAAUGAACCGUGAGGCUUAACCUUACAACGCCGAAGGUGUUU
This 2931-nucleotide ribosomal RNA is filed under the name Escherichia coli. RNAcentral describes it as "23S ribosomal RNA". It matches the Rfam family "Bacterial large subunit ribosomal RNA". Lineage: Bacteria; Pseudomonadati; Pseudomonadota; Gammaproteobacteria; Enterobacterales; Enterobacteriaceae. The record is from RNAcentral.